ACUCCUACGGGAGGCAGCAGUGGGAUAUAUUGGCCAAUGGGGGCACCCUGAUCCAGCCAUGCCGCGUGAGUGAUGAAGGCCCUAGGGUUGUAAAGCUCUUUUGUGCGGGAAGAUAAUGACGGUACCGCAAGAAUAAGCCCCGGCUAACUUUGUGCCAGCAGCCGCGGUAAU
RNAcentral lists this ribosomal RNA (171 nucleotides) under uncultured bacterium. Its description in RNAcentral is "partial 16S ribosomal RNA". It matches the Rfam family "Bacterial small subunit ribosomal RNA", at positions 335 to 524 of the family's 1533-position model. The record is from RNAcentral.